UACGGGGGGAGCAAGCGUUGUUCGGAUUUACUGGGCGUAAAGCGCGCGUAGGCGGUUUUGUAAGUCGGGUGUGAAAUCCCCAGGCUCAACCUGGGAACUGCAUUCGAGACUGCAUAACUGGAGUAUGGGAGAGGACAGCGGAAUUUCCGGUGUAGCGGUGAAAUGCGUAGAUAUCGGAAGGAACAUCAGUGGCGAAGGCGGCUGUCUGGCCCAAUACUGACGCUCAUGUGCGAAAGCGUGGGGAGCAAACAGG
This 253-nucleotide ribosomal RNA is filed under the name uncultured bacterium. RNAcentral's name for it is "partial 16S ribosomal RNA". It matches the Rfam family "Bacterial small subunit ribosomal RNA", at positions 524 to 776 of the family's 1533-position model. The record is from RNAcentral.